Molecule: long non-coding RNA, 220 nt
Organism: Pseudopipra pipra
Lineage: Eukaryota; Metazoa; Chordata; Aves; Passeriformes; Pipridae
Exons: 2
Source: RefSeq, a predicted model, not a curated record
UCAUCUCAUUCUAACUCUCCUGCUGUGGGCAGGGAGACCUUCUGCUAUCCCAGAAGAACUGAACAUCCACAAAGAUGCCCUGGGAAGUUACGUGCACUGCAUCAACUGGUGGCUUUAUAAAGAAGAAAACUUCCUUUGGACCAUCUCUAUAAAAUCACAUGCAUUUUUAUAGCCAGACAAGCAAAAUUCUAAGUCCUAACUAAACUGCCUUGCCCUUAAA